AUUGAACGCUGGCGGCAGGCCUAACACAUGCCAGUCGAGCGGAUGAAGGGAGCUUGCUCCUGGAUUCAGCGGCGGACGGGUGAGUAAUGCCUAGGAAUCUGCCUGGUAGUGGGGGAUAACGUCCGGAAACGGGCGCUAAUACCGCAUACGUCCUGAGGGAGAAAGUGGGGGAUCUUCGGACCUCAAGCUAUCAGAUGAGCCUAGGUCGGAUUAGCUAGUUGGUGGGGUAAAGGCCUACCAAGGCGACGAUCCGUAACUGGUCUGAGAGGAUGAUCAGUCACACUGGAACUGAGACACGGUCCAGACUCCUACGGGAGGCAGCAGUGGGGAAUAUUGGACAAUGGGCGAAAGCCUGAUCCAGCCAUGCCGCGUGUGUGAAGAAGGUCUUCGGAUUGUAAAGCACUUUAAGUUGGGAGGAAGGGCAGUAAGUUAAUACCUUGCUGUUUUGACGUUACCAACAGAAUAAGCACCGGCUAACUUCGUG
This 484-nucleotide ribosomal RNA is filed under the name uncultured bacterium. RNAcentral's name for it is "partial 16S ribosomal RNA". It matches the Rfam family "Bacterial small subunit ribosomal RNA", at positions 30 to 507 of the family's 1533-position model. The record is from RNAcentral.